RNAcentral lists this ribosomal RNA (492 nucleotides) under uncultured bacterium. RNAcentral describes it as "partial 16S ribosomal RNA". It matches the Rfam family "Bacterial small subunit ribosomal RNA", at positions 29 to 507 of the family's 1533-position model. The record is from RNAcentral.
AGUGAACGCUGGCGGUAGGCCUAACACAUGCAAGUCGAACGGCAGCACAGUAAGAGCUUGCUCUUACGGGUGGCGAGUGGCGGACGGGUGAGGAAUACAUCGGAAUCUACUUUUUCGUGGGGGAUAACGUAGGGAAACUUACGCUAAUACCGCAUACGACCUACGGGUGAAAGCAGGGGAUCUUCGGACCUUGCUCGAUUGAAUGAGCCGAUGUCGGAUUAGCUAGUUGGCGGGGUAAAGGCACACCAAGGCGACGAUCCGUAGCUGGUCUGAGAGGAUGAUCAGCCACACUGGAACUGAGACACGGUCCAGACUCCUACGGGAGGCAGCAGUGGGGAAUAUUGGACAAUGGGCGCAAGCCUGAUCCAGCCAUACCGCGUGGGUGAAGAAGGCCUUCGGGUUGUAAAGCACUUUUGUUGGGAAAGAAAAGCAGCAGGUUAAUACCCCGCUGUUCUGACGGUACCCAAAGAAUAAGCACCGGCUAACUUCGUG